AGAGUUUGAUCCUGGCUCAGAUUGAACGCUGGCGGCAUGCCUUACACAUGCAAGUCGAACGGCAGCGCGGGGCAACCUGGCGGCGAGUGGCGAACGGGUGAGUAAUAUAUCGGAACGUGCCCUGGAGUGGGGGAUAACGCAGCGAAAGUUGCGCUAAUACCGCAUACGAUCUAAGGAUGAAAGCAGGGGACCGCAAGGCCUUGUGCUCCUGGAGCGGCCGAUAUCUGAUUAGCUAGUUGGUGGGGUAAAGGCCUACCAAGGCAUCGAUCAGUAGCUGGUCUGAGAGGACGACCAGCCACACUGGAACUGAGACACGGUCCAGACUCCUACGGGAGGCAGCAGUGGGGAAUUUUGGACAAUGGGCGAAAGCCCGAUCCAGCAAUGCCGCGUGAGUGAAGAAGGCCUUCGGG
This 410-nucleotide ribosomal RNA is filed under the name uncultured bacterium. RNAcentral describes it as "bacterial SSU rRNA". It matches the Rfam family "Bacterial small subunit ribosomal RNA", at positions 8 to 422 of the family's 1533-position model. The record is from RNAcentral.